Molecule: ribosomal RNA, 253 nt
Filed under: uncultured bacterium
Lineage: Bacteria
Description: partial 16S ribosomal RNA
Rfam family: Bacterial small subunit ribosomal RNA
Source: RNAcentral
UACGUAGGGUGCAAGCGUUGUCCGGAAUUAUUGGGCGUAAAGAGCUCGUAGGCGGUCUGUCGCGUCUGCUGUGAAAACUCGGGGCUUAACCCCGGGCCUGCAGUGGGUACGGGCAGACUAGAGUGCGGUAGGGGAGACUGGAAUUCCUGGUGUAGCGGUGAAAUGCGCAGAUAUCAGGAGGAACACCGGUGGCGAAGGCGGCCAUCUGGACCGCAACUGACGCUGAGGCGCGAAAGCGUGGGGAGCAAACAGG